AGACCCGAAACCCGGUGAUCUAGCCAUGGGCAGGUUGAAGGUUGGGUAACACUAACUGGAGGACCGAACCGACUAAUGUUGAAAAAUUAGCGGAUGACCUGUGGCUGGGGGUGAAAGGCCAAUCAAACCGGGAGAUAGCUGGUUCUCCCCGAAAGCUAUUUAGGUAGCGCCUCGUGAAUUCAUCUCCGGGGGUAGAGCACUGUUUCGGCUAGGGGGCCAUCCCGGCUUACCAACCCGAUGCAAACUGCGAAUACCGGAGAAUGUUAUCACGGGAGACACACGGCGGGUGCUAACGUCCGUCGUGAAGAGGGAAACAACCCAGACCGCCAGCUAAGGUCCCAAAGUCAUGGUUAAGUGGGAAACGAUGUGGGAAGGCCCAGACAGCCAGGAUGUUGGCUUAGAAGCAGCCAUCAUUUAAAGAAAGCGUAAUAGCUCACUGGUCGAGUCGGCCUGCGCGGAAGAUGUAACGGGGCUAAACCAUGCACCGAAGCUGCGGCAGCGACACUGUGUGUUGUUGGGUAGGGGAGCGUUCUGUAAGCCUGUGAAGGUGUGUCGUGAGGCAUGCUGGAGGUAUCAGAAGUGCGAAUGCUGACAUAAGUAACGAUAAAGCGGGUGAAAAGCCCGCUCGCCGGAAGACCAAGGGUUCCUGUCCAACGUUAAUCGGGGCAGGGUGAGUCGACCCCUAAGGCGAGGCCGAAAGGCGUAGUCGAUGGGAAACGGGUUAAUAUUCCCGUACUUGGUGUUACUGCGAAGGGGGGACGGAGAAGGCUAUGUUGGCCGGGCGACGGUUGUCCCGGUUUAAGCGUGUAGGUGUGUGUUCCAGGUAAAUCCGGUUCACUUUAACACUGAGGCGUGACGACGAGGCACUACGGUGCUGAAGCAACAAAUGCCCUGCUUCCAGGAAAAGCCUCUAAGCAUCAGGUAACAUCAAAUCGUACCCCAAACCGACACAGGUGGUCAGGUAGAGAAUACCAAGGCGCUUGAGAGAACUCGGGUGAAGGAACUAGGCAAAAUGGUGCCGUAACUUCGGGAGAAGGCACGCUGACACGUAGGUGAAGUGAUUUACUCAUGGAGCUGAAGUCAGUCGAAGAUACCAGCUGGCUGCAACUGUUUAUUAAAAACACAGCACUGUGCAAACACGAAAGUGGACGUAUACGGUGUGACGCCUGCCCGGUGCCGGAAGGUUAAUUGAUGGGGUCAGCGCAAGCGAAGCUCCUGAUCGAAGCCCCGGUAAACGGCGGCCGUAACUAUAACGGUCCUAAGGUAGCGAAAUUCCUUGUCGGGUAAGUUCCGACCUGCACGAAUGGCGUAAUGAUGGCCAGGCUGUCUCCACCCGAGACUCAGUGAAAUUGAACUCGCUGUGAAGAUGCAGUGUACCCGCGGCAAGACGGAAAGACCCCGUGAACCUUUACUAUAGCUUGACACUGAACAUUGAGCCUUGAUGUGUAGGAUAGGUGGGAGGCUUUGAAGUGUGGACGCCAGUCUGCAUGGAGCCGACCUUGAAAUACCACCCUUUAAUGUUUGAUGUUCUAACGUGGACCCGUUACCCGGGUUGCGGACAGUGUCUGGUGGGUAGUUUGACUGGGGCGGUCUCCUCCUAAAGAGUAACGGAGGAGCACGAAGGUUGGCUAAUCCUGGUCGGACAUCAGGAGGUUAGUGCAAUGGCAUAAGCCAGCUUGACUGCGAGCGUGACGGCGCGAGCAGGUGCGAAAGCAGGUCAUAGUGAUCCGGUGGUUCUGAAUGGAAGGGCCAUCGCUCAACGGAUAAAAGGUACUCCGGGGAUAACAGGCUGAUACCGCCCAAGAGUUCAUAUCGACGGCGGUGUUUGGCACCUCGAUGUCGGCUCAUCACAUCCUGGGGCUGAAGUAGGUCCCAAGGGUAUGGCUGUUCGCCAUUUAAAGUGGUACGCGAGCUGGGUUUAGAACGUCGUGAGACAGUUCGGUCCCUAUCUGCCGUGGGCGCUGGAGAACUGAGGGGGGCUGCUCCUAGUACGAGAGGACCGGAGUGGACGCAUCACUGGUGUUCGGGUUGUCAUGCCAAUGGCACUGCCCGGUAGCUAAAUGCGGAAGAGAUAAGUGCUGAAAGCAUCUAAGCACGAAACUUGCCCCGAGAUGAGUUCUCCCUGAGACUUAAAGUCUCCUGAAGGAACGUUGAAGACGACGACGUUGAUAGGCCGGGUGUGUAAGCGCAGCGAUGCGUUGAGCUAACCGGUACUAAUGAACCGUGAGGCUUAACCUUACAACG
Molecule: ribosomal RNA, 2244 nt
Filed under: Salmonella enterica
Lineage: Bacteria; Pseudomonadati; Pseudomonadota; Gammaproteobacteria; Enterobacterales; Enterobacteriaceae
Also listed under: 1 other name
Description: partial 23S ribosomal RNA
Rfam family: Bacterial large subunit ribosomal RNA
Source: RNAcentral